This 384-nucleotide unclassified non-coding RNA is filed under the name Hevea brasiliensis (rubber tree). The record is from RNAcentral. Lineage: Eukaryota; Viridiplantae; Streptophyta; Magnoliopsida; Malpighiales; Euphorbiaceae.
CCCCAGAAACCAUCCACAAUUGUACACUACUAGUUUCCUGACACAAUGCAUACCUAGUCUCGCAUGCUCCAUCUCCCCAUCAUUUACUCCAUCUUCUGCGCCAUCUUGUAUCAUUAACUUCAGCAUAGUCAAUAGAAUCAGUAGGCUAAAACUAUUCAUCCUAUCAUAGUUUGGAUUUCAUAUCUCACAAGCUUCAUCCAGGAGCUCCUUCAAACCAUUCGAUGAUCAAAAAGUAUGGGCCCAAACAAAGUUUGCUCCUGCCUAUGGAGUUUUCCUUGUAAAUCAAACAUUUGAUCGGUAUCGUGUAAUUGGAAUCUCUCGGAGUUCACGUCUAAUGCACAGAUAUUCACCUAGUAAAGCCAUCACUGCAAGUCCAGUACCAUU